GGAUCCAGACUUUGAUUCUGGCUCAGGAUGAACGCUAGCUACAGGCUUAACACAUGCAAGCCGAGGGGAAACGAUAGAGAAAGCUUGCUUUCUCUAGGCGUCGACCGGCGCACGGGUGAGUAACGCGUAUCCAACCUGCCCAUCACUUGGGGAUAACCUUGCGAAAGUAAGACUAAUACCCAAUGACGUCCAUAGAAGACAUCUGAAAUGGUUUAAAGAUUUAUCGGUGAUGGAUGGGGAUGCGUCUGAUUAGCUUGUUGGCGGGGUAACGGCCCACCAAGGCGACGAUCAGUAGGGGUUCUGAGAGGAAGGUCCCCCACAUUGGAACUGAGACACGGUCCAAACUCCUACGGGAGGCAGCAGUGAGGAAUAUUGGUCAAUGGGCGAGAGCCUGAACCAGCCAAGUAGCGUGCAGGAUGACGGCCCUAUGGGUUGUAAACUGCUUUUAUAAGGGAAUAAAGUGAGUCUCGUGAGACUUUUUGCAUGUACCUUAUGAAUAAGGACCGGCUAAUUCCGUGCCAGCAGCCGCGGUAAUACGGAAGGUCCGGGCGUUAUCCGGAUUUAUUGGGUUUAAAGGGAGCGUAGGCCGGAGAUUAAGCGUGUUGUGAAAUGUAGAUGCUCAACGUCUGCACUGCAGCGCGAACUGGUUUCCUUGAGUACGCACAAAGUGGGCGGAAUUCGUGGUGUAGCGGUGAAAUGCUUAGAUAUCACGAAGAACUCCGAUUGCGAAGGCAGCUCACUGGAGCGCAACUGACGCUGAAGCUCGAAAGUGCGGGUAUCGAACAGGAUUAGAUACCCUGGUAGUCCGCACGGUAAACGAUGGAUGCCCGCUGUUGGUCUGAAUAGGUCAGCGGCCAAGCGAAAGCAUUAAGCAUCCCACCUGGGGAGUACGCCGGCAACGGUGCAACUCAAAUGAAUUGACGG
Molecule: ribosomal RNA, 924 nt
Filed under: uncultured bacterium
Lineage: Bacteria
Also listed under: 1 other name
Description: bacterial SSU rRNA
Rfam family: Bacterial small subunit ribosomal RNA
Source: RNAcentral